CCUACGGGUGGCAGCAGUGGGGAAUAUUGCACAAUGGGGGAAACCCUGAUGCAGCGACGCCGCGUGAGCGAAGAAGGUUCUCGGAUUGUAAAGCUCUAUCAUCGGUGAAGAUAAUGACGGUAACCAAGUAGGAAGCCCCGGCUAACUACGUGCCAGCAGCCGCGGUAAUACGUAGGGAGCAAGCGUUGUCCGGAUUUACUGGGUGUAAAGGGUGCGCAGGCGGUCUGGCAAGUCUGAUGUGAAAACCACGGGCGCAACCCGGGGACUGCGUUGGAAACUGUGGUGCUGGAGUGUAGUAGCGGCAAGUGGAAUUCCGAGUGUAGCGGUGAAAUGCGUAGAGAUUGGGAGGAACACCAGUGGCGAAGGCGGCUUGCUGGGCUAUAACUGACGCUGAGGCUCGAAAGCAUGGGGAGCAAACAGGAUUAGAUACCCCUGUAGUC
This 440-nucleotide ribosomal RNA is filed under the name uncultured bacterium. RNAcentral describes it as "partial 16S ribosomal RNA". It matches the Rfam family "Bacterial small subunit ribosomal RNA", at positions 338 to 795 of the family's 1533-position model. The record is from RNAcentral.